GACGAACGCUGGCGGCGUGCUUAACACAUGCAAGUCGAACGGGCCCGCUCUCUUUUUUGGGGGUGGGUUGAGUGGCGAACGGGUGAGUAUCACGUGAGUAACCUGCCCCCUGCUCCUGGAUAACUGCUUGAAAGGGCGGCUAAUACGGGGUGUGCCGGCUGGUCCGCAUGGGCCUGGUCGGGAUAGUUUCAUCUUCGGGUGUUUCGGUGGGGGAUGGGCUCGCGGCCUAUCAGCUUGUUGGUGGGGUGAUGGCCCACCAAGGCGGUGACGGGUAGCCGGCCUGAGAGGGUGGGCGGCCACACUGGGACUGAGACACGGCCCAGACUCCUGCGGGAGGCAGCAGUGGGGGGUAUUGCACAAUGGGCGGAAGCCGGAUGCAGCGACGUCGCGUGAGGGAUGGAGGCCGUCGGGUGGUGAACCUCUUUCUCCGGUGGUGAAGGCCCUGUCCGUUGCGGCGGGGUUGACGGUAGCCGGGUAUGAAGCGCCGGCUAACUACGUG
Molecule: ribosomal RNA, 499 nt
Filed under: uncultured bacterium
Lineage: Bacteria
Description: partial 16S ribosomal RNA
Rfam family: Bacterial small subunit ribosomal RNA
Source: RNAcentral